This is a long non-coding RNA of Rhododendron vialii, 1725 nucleotides long. RefSeq lists it as uncharacterized. NCBI's taxonomy places the organism in Eukaryota, Viridiplantae, Streptophyta, Magnoliopsida, Ericales, Ericaceae. The record is from RefSeq and is a predicted model, not a curated record. The transcript is spliced from 4 exons.
UUGGAGGCUCGUGGUGGAGGCAAAGAGGUGCAUAAAUGGUUCUUGACAUUGCCAGAGCCAACUCGAGAGUUGGUGCGUGCUGCAGGUUUUGAGACAUUCAUUAUGGGUCUUAAUAUCCCGAAGACAGAUUGGUUCCUAAUGACCUCGCUAGUUGAGAGGUGGUGGGAUACCACCAACACGUUCCACUUUCCUUUUGCUGGUGAGAUGACGAUCACACCAGGCGACUUCUCUUUGCUUAUUGGCCUACAAGUAGGCGGGGCUCCUUUUUGGGUUGAUCCCAAGCUCUGGCAGCGAAUAGGAGCUUUAGAGUGGUUUUUUGGGCAAAUUGCCUCAUCUCCAUUCACGCGGUCAUAUUGACUUCUCUUGGUUGAGCAAGACUUUUAUGAAGGCUAAUAUUUUGACUCAAGUGAGCGUUGAACAGUUGACACGGGCUUUCCUUCUCUACCUCCUUGGGCAGACAUAGUUUGCCAACAAGGAUAGCUCGAUGCACGUACUGUUUUUGGCCCCUUUGCAGUAUUUGGAGGCGACUUGGGAGUUCGACUAGGGAGCAUCUACUUUGGCCACCUUGUAUGGCAACCUUGGAGUUUGUUCAUGGGACAAGAGUCUCAUCCUUGACGGCCACUACCGAGUGCUUGAGCUCUGAGCUUUCGAGCAUCUUCUUCGGUUUCCUACUGACACUAGACAUGAGGAUGCGAACUGUGUUCCUCGCUAUGAAUGAUGGUUGGUGGGGCAACGAAAGCCGAGGUCACCAGUUCUGAGCCUUCUUGAGUGGCAACGAGUUUUAGACCGACGGACGGUUGAGCAAGUGUGCUUUGACCCUUGGAGCGGUGUACCAGAGGAUUGCCCCCCUUGCGCAUUCUAGAGUCUUGGACCGUACUCGUAGCUUACUCGAGGGCCCUUUUUGCCGGGCUUGGUAUUUGGGCGACUGGGUGGCUAGUCAGUGGCGCCCACGAGCUGAGGCUCUUCAGUUUGUUCCUUCUCCACCUUCGACGUCGAUGAGAUCCACCUCUUCAAUGUAAUGCUUAGAUUAGAUACUAGACAGGCUUGCUUCUUCAGGCAGGUGACUACAUGGAGUAUUGCCGUCUUUUCUUGACUCCACCUGCUGUUUCUCCAGUUGCUCCUAUUUGGCCACGGGCCCCUUCUUUUGUUUCCUUUCACUUUGCUGAGGAGAGGAAGAGCGCUUAGCGCUUGCUCCUUGUUCGACCCAGCUUUGCACGUUACCGGCUGGAGUUUCACAAGUGCUUGCUGAGGUAGUGUAGGAAUGGCUGCGUGCUUAUCAGAGUGUGGAGGCUCUGGUUCAGAUGCAGUGCCGUCAAAUCCUUGAGGUAUGGUUCUCUUGUAUGCUUUUUUGCUUUGUGUUCUUUCUUGAACCUGAAUGCUUGUAUCGUUUUUCUUACAGCUUGAGGCUGAGCGAGUACCAGCUGCCAGUGGGGAGGAUGUGGGGACCAGUGAGCAAUCCCCUUCUUCAUCUCAGAGAUCGUCUCGGAGACGCCAUCAUGACUAGCCUUAGGAUUUUUCUUUCCCUGUCCAAAGUUAGUAAAAAGACAGGAAGAAACUGUAUGUAGUGAAUGCAACCACAGUGAUGAUUUUGUAAUCAAGUUUUUUGUUCAUAAAAUGAGAAUUGCCCCUAAAUGUUUUGAGAUUGCAUGCGAGAGUCAGAGCAUGGCUUUUUGAACAAGUAUUUGUUGUUUCCUGGAUAAAUAGCCAGAAUUUGAAAACAUAAAG